Molecule: long non-coding RNA, 1490 nt
Filed under: Podarcis muralis (Common wall lizard)
Lineage: Eukaryota; Metazoa; Chordata; Lepidosauria; Squamata; Lacertidae
Description: lncRNA (ENSPMRG00000003129.1)
Source: RNAcentral
AUAAAAACAUGUGUAGGUAGCCAGCAGAGGUCGCUGUUGUAACAUAACUGCCAUUACUAUAAAAUAUUAGGCUGCCGGUUGGUUAUAUUAGUUCAAAGAAGAAACAAAAAAAUUGAAAUGGGGCUUUUCACAAUUUUACUAAUCAGAUCAAUAUUUUGACUCUUCCAAUAAAUGAUUCAGGUAAAAUAAUAUGUCUUCAGCUUAACAUUUCCCGUCACCACUUUCAUGACUUUCAGUCCUUUUUUCUGGUUUCUUUAGUAUAGCUAUAGAUGAUUCACAGCACAAUCCUAACCAGGACUACUGAUAAGUGGGGCUUUCUCCCAGGUAAGCAAGGUUAGGAUUGCAGCCUCAGACUGCACUCCUAUGGCAGUUGCCUGGAUUUACCUCCAAGCAACAGGCACACAAUUACACUGUGAAUCACCAUAUCCCAAAAUUCCAACCUGCAAAACAGCUAAGAUGUUCCCUUAACUGUGUUUAUCCAAGGGGAAAAAAGGUUUAUCAGAUUUUGCCUUCUUGCUAAUUCACAUUCUUGCAUUAUAAGAAUCAGAAACCGUUUAACACUCUUCACAGGUAUUUUUGCACCAGGAGGGAAGCAGGAAAGGGGAAUCAUACACCUGUAAUGGGAACUUUUCUCUCUCUCUUUUCUUUUUUUAAAUAGCACACUAAUAGGAAGAUGAUGUCCCAUCUGGAGUCUGUGCCUCAGUGGCGUCCCGAGGGUUGCCAGCGCCCGGGGCCGCUUGAAGCGGGCUGCAGAGGAACACGCACAUUAAACUAUCUAACGGCAUCUGUGUCACCCAGGAGAUUGCUGCCGCAGAGAUAAGAAGAGUGGUUCUGUUGUCUGGAGAGGUCUCUUCCUGGUUCGCAUGGAGAAGUCGUUUUCAAUGGAGCCCAUCAACGGAAGCGUGAAACUGUAUUGAGGCAGCACCAUUAAAUAAGUGGACCCGAAGCCUGUUCCCAUGUGGAAAGAAUGUGUGAGGGGGCUGUAGGGCUGUGAGCAUGCGCAUCUCCCGUUAAUGCUUGCAACAGCCGUGCCCCCUCCCCCCCAAAAAAAAUGAGUAUGUGGUUUAAUAGAUCAGUGCUGGUUUAUUUUUGAAAAGGAAUGCUAUGUGGCAAGGAAGGGAGAAGCAGUCUAAAUUAUCUAAGACAAACACAUCUUUCCUCAGUUGACAAACAGAGAAUGUAAGUUCUCCCUGGAAUCUGUAUUUGUUGUGGUUGGAAGGCAGUGUAUUUAAUUAUCUUUGGGAUAAGAUGCACUUUCCAACUGGUUAUUGAGACUGCUGCAGAAUAACAAUGGGGAAAGUGACCUAUGCGCUGUGGCAGAGUAAACACAAAUGAGGACCGACAUGGGGGAGGUGGAGGGAUGACACUCGUUUGUGUGUGUAGAGUAAAAAAUAAAUAGAAUUUCAGCACAAUUUUAUACACUUGCCCUCAUGUGCCAAAUCCACACGAGUCCUUUUUGCCCCAAAGGUGUUGCACAGGAAAUUGGGGCA